This 895-nucleotide long non-coding RNA is filed under the name Panax ginseng (ginseng). RNAcentral's name for it is "long non-coding RNA (PGIN_LNC015582)". The record is from RNAcentral. Lineage: Eukaryota; Viridiplantae; Streptophyta; Magnoliopsida; Apiales; Araliaceae.
CCUUCCAGGAGCUCCAUGAGGAGCUGUUUUGCCUCCCAUAAAUAUACUCACUUGACGUACACAUCCAUUAUUUACCACCAAGUCCCUUUCAAAGGCAUGCUUCAACAUCAACCCAUCCCCAUAUUCACAUAACCAAGGCACCCACAUGCUAGAAACACUUAACAAAGGCUGCAAUAUUCAGCUUGACAUCCAUUUUCAGGAAAGUUUUACAGCAUCAUUAAUAGACUUUCGCCUUAUAUAUCCUGAUCAAGAGACUACAUCUCUCAUAAGCAUGUUAUCAAACACCUUAUUUGCAUCAAUACAUCUGCUACAAACACCAUAAAAAAUGAAGAAGUAAGAUUUUCCCAAGCAUAGUCUACAAAGCCAACAGAUUUUUCAAAGAAUUCAGCAACUUUAUUACUUACAAAUUCAUCAAGAACUAAACCGGAUAUAAUUAGUUGAGCAUGAAUCUGCUUAAAGGACCCAAGGUUCUUGCAACCAGUAUAAAUUAACUCUAAAAUGGUCCAUUUCAAACAAUGCAUGGUCCUAUUAAAAUUGAGUUAAAUCUACCAAUUUCGAGAAUAGUUAUACAACAUCUUGAAUUCUUGAUCUAUAAUAAGUGCCCACGUAAUUAAACAAGAAAAAUGACUCCUUGACUAAGCCAUUUCAAGAUAACUAAAUUAUUUCUCUCCACACAAAUACAUUGUAUAUGCAUGCAUCACUAACACAAGGAACACAAAGACGGAUAGGGUGAGCCAGACAGACUGAUUAAGUAGAUUAUGAAGCAUAUAAAUCGUAUGCUUACCCCGAUUUGAAGCGUUAAUUACGUCUGUGUAACCGUGAUUAUAACUUUAUGAAAGGGUAAAUAUGCCUGUGUAAUCAAAUUUUAAGAUUUGGCUCCCCCAUUACACUUUUC